AUGGAGCUUAACGUAGUGCAAGCCAUGGCAGCUGUCCUCAUGGUGCUAGUAACCACGAGAGCGCUAUGGUAUCUGCUUUGGAGGCCGUAUGCCGUGGCCAGGUGGUUCCGACGGCAGGGCAUCAGAGGUCCGCCUUACAAUCUCCUGGUUGGGUCCCUGCCGGAGUGCCAGAAGAUGAUUGUCGCCGGGAGAGCCAAGGAUCUGGACACCAUCUCCCACGACUGCAUCACUACCGUGCAACCCUUCUUCCAGAAAUGGGCCUCCAUGUAUGGGAAAACAUUCCUAUACUGGCUGGGGCCGACACCAGCACUGUGCUCUACGGACAUGGAGCUGGUGAAGAAAGUGUUAACCGACAGGACGGACAUGUUCCAAAAAGACUACUCAAAUCCUAGCCUGGAAGCGGUUCUGGGGAAUGGGGUUGUAUUUGCAAACGGACACGACUGGAAGCGGCGGCGCAAAUUCAUCCACCCGGCUUUCAACCAAGAGAAGAUCAAGUCCAUGUCAGCAAUAACGUUGGAGUGCACACAGCAGACAAUGGAACGGUGGCGCAACAGGCAGCAAGCCGAGAUAGACAUGAUGCACGACUCCGACGAGAUAGCCAUGAGUGUCAUUGCGAGAGUGAUGUUGGGCAAGUGCUACAAGGAGGCCUGGGAGGUGUUCAUCGCCGGAAAGGAGCAGCUGAAGCUAGCUACUUAUGCGUUUGCGGAUCCUCCGGUACCUGGAUUAUGGUACCUGCCAACACGUCGCAACCGUCGGGCAUGGUAUCUUGACAAGCUUGUGAAACAUAAGAUCUCACAGAUCAUAGAGGCGCGACUCGCUAGCGGCGUCUACGAAGAUGACCUGCUCGGGCAGAUGCUGCAGCUGCAGCUGCAAACAUGUAGCAGCGGCAGCACCGAGACCCUGAGCACCGAGGAGAUGGUUGGCGAGUGCAGGACUUUCUUCGCGGCUGGGUACGAAACCAGUGCCAGCCUCAUUACCUGGGCGAUGUUCCUGCUCGCCAGCUACCCACGGUGGCAGGAGAUGGUCAGGGAGGAGGUCGUCCGGGAAUAUCCUGCUCACCGGUUACCCAUAGGUGACGCCCUCGGCAAGUUGAAGCUG
RNAcentral lists this ribosomal RNA (1098 nucleotides) under Triticum aestivum (bread wheat). RNAcentral describes it as "partial small subunit ribosomal RNA". Lineage: Eukaryota; Viridiplantae; Streptophyta; Magnoliopsida; Poales; Poaceae. The record is from RNAcentral.